This 496-nucleotide ribosomal RNA is filed under the name uncultured bacterium. RNAcentral's name for it is "partial 16S ribosomal RNA". It matches the Rfam family "Bacterial small subunit ribosomal RNA", at positions 28 to 507 of the family's 1533-position model. The record is from RNAcentral.
GAUGAACGCUGGCGGCGUGCCUAAUACAUGCAAGUCGAGCGAACAGACGAGGAGCUUGCUCCUUUGACGUUAGCGGCGGACGGGUGAGUAACACGUAGGUAACCUACCUAUAAGACUGGGAUAACUUCGGGAAACCGGAGCUAAUACCGGAUAAUAUUUCGAACCGCAUGGUUCGAUAGUGAAAGAUGGCUUUGCUAUCACUAUAGAUGGACCUGCGCCGUAUUAGCUAGUUGGUAAGGUAACGGCUUACCAAGGCAACGAUACGUAGCCGACCUGAGAGGGUGAUCGGCCACACUGGAACUGAGACACGGUCCAGACUCCUACGGGAGGCAGCAGUAGGGAAUCUUCCGCAAUGGGCGAAAGCCUGACGGAGCAACGCCGCGUGAGUGAUGAAGGUCUUCGGAUCGUAAAACUCUGUUAUUAGGGAAGAACAAACGUGUAAGUAACUGUGCACGUCUUGACGGUACCUAAUCAGAAAGCCACGGCUAACUACGUG